GCCUAGGUGGCUCAGUUGGUUAGGUGUCUGACUUUUGGUUUUGGCUCAGGUCAUGAUCUCAUGCGUUUGUGGGUUUGAGCCCCACUCUGGGCU
RNAcentral lists this transfer RNA (93 nucleotides) under Felis catus (domestic cat). It matches the Rfam family "tRNA". From Rfam's summary of the family: Transfer RNA (tRNA) molecules are approximately 80 nucleotides in length. Their secondary structure includes four short double-helical elements and three loops (D, anti-codon, and T loops). The record is from Rfam by way of RNAcentral. Lineage: Eukaryota; Metazoa; Chordata; Mammalia; Carnivora; Felidae. RNAcentral also lists the same sequence under 2 other names.